This is a non-coding RNA of Camelina sativa (false flax), 790 nucleotides long. Lineage: Eukaryota; Viridiplantae; Streptophyta; Magnoliopsida; Brassicales; Brassicaceae. The record is from RefSeq and is a predicted model, not a curated record.
AUUCAAAUAUAUGCAGAAAUAUGGCUUAGUGUAGCGCUAGAAAGUGUGAGUAGUACAUGUAUUAUUACUAAGAUUGACAGUAACUCUUUACUAUGUAGUCCAAACAGAUGCAGUUACUAGGUAGUAGACCUGCCUCAUUGUUCCUUGAAACAUUUGAAUAUGUAACCUCUUCACUUUUUUUUCUCCCAAAAGAAAUGUAGUCACAGACUGGCAUCCCCACAAUGAUCCGUCACAUUUGCGUUUAACAUUGUUUUUUUAUAUUUUUAUACAUGAAUGAAUUAUUUAGGGUUUAGUUAGAGACAACUUGGUCUCCUCUUAUUAUAUUAAUAAUCACCUGAAGAACAAGUCAGAGGAGGUCUUGUGUGUUCGUGGACGAGGACUGACGAUGAUUUGAUUCGACUCAGAACAAACACGGUCGCCGGCGUCAGUGUUCGUUGACUCAAACUAAUCAAUUACAAAACAAAAGGAGUGCAGGAUUAGGGUUAAAAACGUAGCUAGCACUACCAGAGGUUUGUGUCUGUGGCUGUGUGUUCCCAAACCAGGACAAUGACCCAUACUUCUCCAAGGACGUACGAAAGCAUCAAGGUUUAUCACUGAGAGGGAGGGGACUUAUCUUGUAAGUCUCUUGUUGUCAGGACGGUAAUCUGUGGUUUGGUUGAGCUGUCAUGAUGCGUCUCUGGAGUGAUAGGCUUCCUGCUAGUUCCAAUUCUGACAUGACAAGUGAUCCUGGUGUUGUGACUUGUAAGGAACUACUUCAAUCCUUUGGUAGAGUGAUGAAGUUCAAUCGUCA